CCUGCCCCUAGAAGCAUUGUAGAUAUGGCCACUGUGUCACAUGUGCAUCAGGAGGUGGCAGAGAGGAAAAAGGCUAUGUCUACGCUCAGUGUCCUGACUUAUGAACAUCUGAAUGAUUAGUACCCUAACACU
Molecule: small nucleolar RNA, 132 nt
Organism: Grammomys surdaster
Lineage: Eukaryota; Metazoa; Chordata; Mammalia; Rodentia; Muridae
Product: small nucleolar RNA SNORA17
Exons: 1
Source: RefSeq, a predicted model, not a curated record